CCUACGGGAGGCAGCAGUGGGGAAUAUUGCACAAUGGGCGAAAGCCUGAUGCAGCGACGCCGCGUGAGGGAUGACGGCCUUCGGGUUGUAAACCCCUUUCAGCAGGGACGAAGCGCAAGUGACGGUACCUGCAGAAGAAGCACCGGCUAACUACGUGCCAGCAGCCGCGGUAAUACGUAGGGUGCAAGCGUUGUCCGGAAUUACUGGGCGUAAAGAGUUCGUAGGCGGUUUGUCGCGUCGUUUGUGAAAACCAGCAGCUCAACUGCUGGCUUGCAGGCGAUACGGGCAGACUUGAGUACUGCAGGGGAGACUGGAAUUCCUGGUGUAGCGGUGAAAUGCGCAGAUAUCAGGAGGAACACCGGUGGCGAAGGCGGGUCUCUGGGCAGUAACUGACGCUGAGGAACGAAAGCGUGGGUAGCGAACAGGAUUAGAUACCUGGUAGUCCACGCCGUAAACGGUGGGCGCUAGGUGUGGGUUCCUUCCACGGAAAUCCGUGCCCGUAGCUAACGCAUUAAGCGCCCCGCCUGGGGAGUUACGGCCGCAAGGCUAAAACUCAAAGGAAUUGACGGGG
Molecule: ribosomal RNA, 571 nt
Filed under: uncultured bacterium
Lineage: Bacteria
Description: bacterial SSU rRNA
Rfam family: Bacterial small subunit ribosomal RNA
Source: RNAcentral